CAAAAUGCCCCCGUAACUUCGGGAGAAGGGGGACCAGUCCUGGUGACGACAUUUACUGUCUGAGCUGGGGUUGGUCGCAGAGACCAGAGAGAAGCGACUGUUUACUAAAAACACAGGUCCGUGCGAAGUCGUAAGACGAUGUAUACGGACUGACGCCUGCCCGGUGCUGGAAGGUUAAGAGGACCGGUCAGCCACUUCGGUGGCGAAGCUGAGAAUUUAAGCCCCAGUAAACGGCGGUGGUAACUAUAACCAUCCUAAGGUAGCGAAAUUCCUUGUCGGGUAAGUUCCGACCUGCACGAAUGGCGUAACGACUUCUCUGCUGUCUCAACCACAGACUCGGCGAAAUUGCAGUACGAGUAAAGAUGCUCGUUACGCGCGGCAGGACGAAAAGACCCCGGGACCUUCACUAUAGCUUGGUAUUGGUGUUCGGUUCGGUUUGUGUAGGAUAGGUGGGAGACUGUGAAACUCGCACGCCAGUGUGGGUGGAGUCAUUGUUGAAAUACCACUCUGACCGUAUUGGACAUCUAACCUCGGACCAUGAUCUGGUUCAGGGACAGUGCCUGGUGGGUAGUUUAACUGGGGCGGUUGCCUCCCAAAAAGUAACGGAGGCGCCCAAAGGUUCCCUCAGCCUGGUUGGCAAUCAGGUGUUGAGUGUAAGUGCACAAGGGAGCUUGACUGUGAGACGUACAUGUCGAGCAGGGACGAAAGUCGGGACUAGUGAUCCGGCACCGGCAAGUGGAAGCGGUGUCGCUCAACGGAUAAAAGGUACCCCGGGGAUAACAGGCUGAUCUUCCCCAAGAGUCCAUAUCGACGGGAUGGUUUGGCACCUCGAUGUCGGCUCGUCGCAUCCUGGGGCUGGAGUAGGUCCCAAGGGUUGGGCUGUUCGCCCAUUAAAGCGGCACGCGAGCUGGGUUUAGAACGUCGUGAGACAGUUCGGUCUCUAUCCGCCGCGCGCGUAAGAAACUUGAGGAAACCUGUCCCUAGUACGAGAGGACCGGGACGGACGAACCUCUGGUGUGCCAGUUGUUCCACCAGGAGCACCGCUGGUUAGCUACGUUCGGAAGGGAUAACCGCUGAAAGCAUCUAAGCGGGAAGCCUGUUCCAAGAUGAGGUUUCUCACCACCUAGCGUGGUUAAGGCCCCCCACAGACCAUGGGGUUGAUAGGCCAGAACUGUAAGCACAGCAAUGUGUUCAGGUGACUGGUACUAAUCGGCCGAGGACUUU
RNAcentral lists this ribosomal RNA (1224 nucleotides) under metagenome. RNAcentral's name for it is "bacterial LSU rRNA". It matches the Rfam family "Bacterial large subunit ribosomal RNA", at positions 1718 to 2925 of the family's 2925-position model. The record is from RNAcentral.